UACGGAGGGAGCUAGCGUUAUUCGGAAUUACUGGGCGUAAAGCGCACGUAGGCGGCUUUGUAAGUAAGAGGUGAAAGCCCGGAGCUCAACUCCGGAACUGCCUUUUAGACUGCAUCGCUUGAAUCCAGGAGAGGUGAGUGGAAUUCCGAGUGUAGAGGUGAAAUUCGUAGAUAUUCGGAAGAACACCAGUGGCGAAGGCGGCUCACUGGACUGGUAUUGACGCUGAGGUGCGAAAGCGUGGGGAGCAAACAGG
This 253-nucleotide ribosomal RNA is filed under the name uncultured bacterium. RNAcentral describes it as "partial 16S ribosomal RNA". It matches the Rfam family "Bacterial small subunit ribosomal RNA", at positions 524 to 776 of the family's 1533-position model. The record is from RNAcentral.